GCCUUUUUUGUGCAAACUAUAAAAAUCUUCUUGUCCAUAACCAUUGGGCCUAUUUCUACCAAAUUCGGUAGGUAGUAACAUCUAAUAGUUCUCUACUUAGUUUGUUCAAAUUAUGCCCCUAGGAACAAAUUUGACCUUGCCCCAGGGGUCACAAAAAUGAACAUAUGCUUAAAUAAGGCCUAUUUUGUGCAAACUUUAAAAAUCUUCUUGUCCUUAAUUAUAGAGCCUAGGGCUACUAAAUUUGGUAUGUAGUGAUAUCUAAUAGUCCUCUACCAAAUUUGUUUAAAUUAUUUACCUGUGCUCAAAUUUGACCCGGCCCCGGGGGUCACAAAACUGAACAUAUGACGUUUACCAGUGGAGAUUACUGCGGCCGUUUGGCUGUGACCAACAACAACAUCAACAUCUUGUACACAUGAGAUAAAACCCUGUCAUUUAGUGCCAUUUUAGGUCAGAUGGUGACUGCUUACAAAGGCAUUGAAGUAAGAACAUGUGUUAUGAAUGUUUUUCUUAUAAACUGAAAAAAGUCGGGUUUUAUUUAAAUAUGUCGAAAGUGACCAUAUAUCCGGAUGAAAAUAUUUUGGAUGACAUGUUAAUUUCAUGUCUUUUUUGUAGUGUUAAAACCAGUUUAAUAAUAUAUUAUUGAUUUUAAAAACACAACUUCCAUGAACAUGAUAUAAUUAUUUCAAGGAGAGUCAAUAUAUGAUACUGCACGGUAAACUCAAACUUUGUAUCCAAGAGAAGGUGUUGAAAUUAAUGAAGUGCAAUGUUCUUAACUAUCGUAUAUGCUGCUUUUUAAUAACUAAUGAUUCAUUGUUCCAUUUGUGAAUCGUGACUGAUCAUGAAUUGUUGAAAUGAUUGUCAAUUGCUCAACAAUCCAUAGAUAUUUCUGACCAUUUUAUAAUUUUCUUAAUAUAAGUUAUGAAUUGAUCUUAGAAGUCAAAUGUAUUACUUAAUUAAAUACAUUUAUAAAUAUAAAGAAAUAAUCUUUAGAUUAUCAUAAUAUUCUCAGGCCUGUUGGUCUUAGGGAUGUGUGGGUUGAUGAGCAAUUUCUCCUUUUAUCACAAUUAUUUCUACCCUACCUGAUCAUUUCCUUCAUAUUCCAUUUUAAUUCAAUUGACGUCUGCAACCUCUUUCAAAUUGGGAAAGCCCAAAAUGUGUUGUUUGGUAAAGGGUUAAGGCAUUUUGAUUCCUAUGGGUCUUGUGAAUCUGUUUCAAAUCAAAUGCGUAGAUUUGAUCUUCAGCAUCUAAAAAUAUGUGAAAUAGAAAGAACGACAAUAUCUUUUGGAGAGAUAAAUGUACCUACGUUAUAAGCAAAGGACCUGUGCAACAAUUCCGAGGCUUUUUGUCUGUUUAGUUAACACGGUAGUAACUUUUUCCAUAUAUAAAAAUGCUCACCCUUCCAACUUGAAGCGCCCAGUGGGACGAGGGAUAGAAAGAGAAAGUCACAUGCUUGAGUACAUUUCAACCCAUGUGCAUUACACGUUUUUUUCGCAAAGAAAAAACAGUGGAGCGAUACAGGGCCAUCAUGGCCCUCUUGUUUAUAUCUUAGAUGAGUUUGAAAAUGGUCCCGAUCUUUAAAAAAAAACAUGGCCGCGGAGUGGGGGGCAGUUUUCCUUAUAUGACUAGAAUAACCUUGUGAACACUCUAGAAAUCAUAUUUUUUGCUUAAUCAUCGUAAAACUUAGUCAAUACAUUGGUUUUAUUGAUAUCCCAGAUAAGUUGGAAAAUGGCUCAGAUCGGUGAAAAAAACACACUUUUUAGCUCACCUGAUUGCUCAGGUGAGGUUUUAGGGUUGGACUUUGUCCGCCGUUUGUCCACAUUUGGUUUGUUAACACUCUAGCAUUCACAUUUCUCAAGCAUUCUUUAUCAAAGUUGCUGAGUAGCUAUAUGACCACAAGAUCUCAGUCAAGUUUGAUAAUGAGCAAAAUCGCAUACUAAAUGAUAAAAUUAUUGCCCUUAGAUUGUGAAAAUUUUCAUUAUAUUACACAAAUCCCUGAAAACACUAUAGGUCACAAUUUUGUUUCAGAUUUUAUGAAUCUUGGUCAUUUUUUAUUUAAAUAUAUAAAUAUAUUUAUUUUUUGUACGCAAAGUUUGAUGUUUGGUCAUGAGGGGUCAAAAUAUAGGUCACCAGGUCAAAUCCUACAAAAACCUUGUAAACACUACAUACGCCAGAGUUUUGGCUUUAUUAUGCCCCCCUUCGAAGAAGAGGGGGUAUAUUGCUUUGCUCAUGUCGGUCGGUCUGUCGGUCCGUCCAUCAGGUGGUUGUUAGACGAUAACUCAAGAACGCUUGGGCCUAGGAUCAUGAAACUUCAUAGGUACAUUGAUCAUGACUCGCAGAUGACCCCUAUUGAUUUUGAGGUCACUAGGUCAAAGGUCAAGGUCACGGUGACCAGAAAUAGUAAAAUGGUUUUUGAAUGAAAACUCAAGAACGCAUACGCCUAGGAUCAUGAAACUUCAUGGGUAGAUUGAUCAUGACUCGCAGAUGACCCCUAUUGAUUUUGAGGUCACUAGGUCAAAGGUCAAGGUCACGGUGACCCGAAAUAGUAAAAUGGUUUUCGGAUGAUAACUCAAGAACACAUACGCCUAGGAUCAUGAAACUUCAUAGGUAGAUUGAUCAUGACUUGCAGAUGACCCCUAUUGAUUUUGAGGUCACAAGGUCAAAGGUCAAGGUCACAGUGACCCGAAAUAGUAAAAUGGUUUUCGGAUGAUAACUCAAGAACACUUUUGCCUAGGAUCAUGGCACUUCAUAGGUACAUUGAUCGUGACCCGCAGAUGACCCCUAUUGAUUUUCAGGUCACUAGGUCAAAGGUCAAGGUCACAGUGACAAAAAUCGAAUUCACACAAUGGCUGCCACUACAACGGACAGCCCAUAUGGGGGGCAUGCAUGUUUUACAAACAGCCCUUGUUAUAAAGAAACUUGACCUGGAUGUUUGUCUAGACAAUAUCUAGGUCAAGUUUGACUUUUGGUAAAGAUUGAAUGAACCAACUCCUCUCAGGUGAGCGAAUUAGGGCCAUCUUGGCCCUCUUGUUUUCUUACCCGAGGACAGAAUACUCAUAGUCAAUUUUAGUGAUCGCCUUUUGUCUGUUCUCAGUCUUUUGUUGUCAAUAUAGAGCACACGCCCUUCAAGGUCUUAUUUCUUGCCCAAUCUUAAUGACAUUUGGUCUGAGCAUUGGUCUGAUGAUAUGUUGGGCGAAAUCCAAAACAGGAUCAUGUAGGUGAAAUACAAGGCCAUAAGUUUAUAUAAAAACCCAUAGCUCAAUUAGCUAUCAACUUGCUGACAUUUAUAAACACUCAAGAAGUCCCUUAUGUAACCCAAACUUGUUCAGAACUUUUGUUCUUAGGAUAUCUUGACCAUGUUCAAUUCUUGGUCAUGUUGGGUCGACUUAAAAAAAAAUUGUGCUAAAUUGUAAGAGGCCAAAUUUAUUGCUCAAUGUUUAUUAAACAGGGACUAGACAUUUGUCCAAACGAUAUCUAGGCAUUGUUCAAAACUGUUUCAGGUGGGGUCAAAAUCCUGUAGCCACCUAAUACUUUAUAAAUAUUACUUGCAAAUAUCCUUAAAACAUAAACUCAGUUGAGCUGCCAAAUGCCCUUAAUCUUUAUUAUUUUUUAUUUGAAAUUUCAGCUAUAAUUAUUCGAGUUAUACAUUUAUAUAUAUGUUCAAAACAAAAUAUUCAAAAAAAAUGAAUAUAGUUUAUGCUUAUAAAAGCAAACAGUUUGGGUGCAUGGUAAUUUUGUUCAGUGCUUUGUAAAAUUUAACUUGAUUUAGAAAUACAUGUACAUGAAAAAAUAAACAAAAUUAUGCUUUUCUGACUUGCAUUCAUUCAACUCAAUGUAAUGCACAGGUACAUCAUUUUCUAUUGCAUAAAUAUUCAGACAUAUUAUAAUAUUUUAUGUACAAUUUAAUUAUAUUUUUAUUGUGACUCUAUUCUCUCACUAAUGAAAUGUGUUCGGAUACUUUUAUUUUACACUAGUCUAAACAUUGUGUUGGCUUUAUUUAAUGUUUUGUUGUAGAGUCUAUUUUCUAUGUUAUUAUUUUUUCAAGUGAAAGAAUUGUCCGUACUGGUUCUAGUUAUCUAUAUUUGAAGCAUAUAUAUAUUGAAAUGUGUUGAUGUUUUCCUGAACGGGUUUUUGUAUGUUUUAAUAAAUAAAAAAAAAGUGUAAAUUGUUACCAAGAGCAUGUUUUAAAGAAAAGCUUACUGUUAGGAAAAGUUCCUUGUGAAACAUUUUGUAUUCUCUAUUUCUGUUUGUUUUUUCAGAGUUUCACUUUUUGUAUUCACACAUGACACACAACCUGUUUUCUUUAGACAAAGAAGGAAAUCAAACAUGGGUAAAUAUGCAAAAGUAAUUUGCAAAACCAUAUGUUUAUGAAGUAGUUACAGAAAAUGAUAAGAAAUUGUACAAUAAAAUGUACAUGCUUGAAUGUGAACUUUCUGUAUAGUGUAUUAAAACACAUGUAAGCAUUUGUGCAUAUUAAAUUUUUGUUUGUGUUUUUGAAUCUGGAAAUGUCCUUGUAGCAUCAAUUAACUAAUUAUAUUGGUAUUAAGAUUUUAAUCAAUAAACCUGAUUUCAUUGAAGAAUGUUAUUCUAAAUUUAGUUGAUAUUAUAUUAUUUGAUCUGAUCCAUUUCCUUCAAACAAAAGCGCUUUAAUAUAUUUUAAAUACUAACGAAGAUUAUGUAAUAAUCAAAAACAUUGUUUUUGCUGCAACAAUUUGUUUUAAAAUAAACCUAGCAUAUUUAGGAGUUUAGAUUAGAACUAUGUCGCUCAUGCUUAUCCCCUGUUUUAAUUCCUUUGCAUCUACACUUAUUACUGUUGAUUAUAAGACAACAAAUUACAAUAGAAAAAUAUCAUUUCUUAAAUAACAAACAGAUCAUGUUUGAAAUCCCGUAUGAGAAAUUUCAAAAUUCUGUUUAUGACACUUGAUGAACAAAAUAUUCAAUGCGAAGUUGAACUUUCCUUUAAAAAAAAUAGUUGAAACAACUCUGGACAGGUUUGUCAAAUUAUUAGAAAAUAAUCACGAAAGGGUUCAGUCUGAUUUUUGGCUGCACUAAGUCACAGGUGGUUGGUGUGUGUCAUUUCUGCAUUGAAUAAGACUGGAUUUAAAAAAAUUGCUGCAAAAUUGAUGAAGUAAUGGCUGUUCAAAGGGACGCACCCUGUUUUCGGGUGAUUUCGCGUUGAAUACCUUGUUAUAUAUAUAUUUGAUAGUGAUUUUUUUUUCAGAAAAGUUGAUUUUUCAUAAUAAUAUGAUUAUUUAUAAUUCAAAAUGAUGUUUUCACUAUUAAUAUUAAAGCCACACACCAACCACCUGUGCACUAAGUACCUGUUCACAUGGGGGAUCUAUCCUUAGUAGUGCUAGUAUCUAGUCAGGGAGAGAAAUCUACAAGGGCCGAUUGCCUAAUGGCCCCUUAAAUGGGGAGUGUGGAGGGUGGCAGGGCUCCCUUAAUAAUCAACUUUACUUAAAGUAUAAAAAUUAUGAGAGAUGGUGACCACGGCCCAAUUGUGGAUUUCUGACAGUGUCUGGUUCCCUUAACAUUUGUGAUCCGACUGUAGAAGUGCUCAGUCCUAUUUUGUUAAUCCCUCCUUUCAAAGAAGAGGGGGUAUAUUGUUUUGCACAUGUCGGUCGGUCCAUCCACCAGAUGGUUUCCGGAUGAUAACUCAAGAAUGCUAAGGCCUAGGAUCAUGAAACUUCAUAGGUACAUUGAUCAUGACUGGCAGAUGACCCCUAUUGAUUUUCAGGUCACUAGGUCAAAGGUCAAGGUCACGGUGACACGAAUCAGUAAAAUGGUUUCGGGUUUAUAACUCAAUAAUGCUUACCCCUAGGAUCAUAAAACUUUACUAGGUCAAAGGUCAAGGUCACAGUGACAAAAAAUGUAUUCACUCAGUGGCUGCCACUACAACUGACAACUGAUAUGGGGGGCAUGCAUGUUUCACAACCAGCCCUUGUUGAAAUUUGUGACUUUAUGGCCAGUAAUAAGUGUUUGGUAUCUGAAUAUGUGCUGUAACUGUAAACAAAUGUACUUAAUUAGGAAAUAGUUGAUCAAACUGUUUUCAACUUUCAUUGUUUGCUUUAGUUUAAAACUUGUAAUUUUUUUUUCUUAUUAACUGAAACAACUACUGUUACAAAAUUAAAUUAUGACACAACAUGGCAAACCAAAUUGUAACAAAAGAAAGAUUUUGAGAGGUAAAUUUUUAAAUGCUAGUUUAUAUUAAUUUUACUAUGUGAUAUGAAUCUAGUGUUGAUGAUUGGUGUGGGAAAGGGUGAGGCUAAUAAUAUUGAGAGAAGCUAGGCUGUGUUUUAACCCUUUACCACUUUGAUAUGUAUUUUCAAGCAUUUGUUGUCCUUUAGAAAGUUAAAUUUUAUUAAAUGCCUCUGUCUAGAUCCAAGUUUUAAAGGUUUCUAUUCCAACCCUUAGAUACUGAUGAGAAGCAAACAGCGUAAAACCUGAACAGAUUGCGAGUUACUUGCAGGCUGUUCUGGUUUUAUGCUGUUUGCACAUAAUCAUUUUCACUUUGUUUCUAGGUGGGAAAGGGUUAAAGUAGCAUAAUCUGUUUCAUUUUGAAAUCGAACUAAUUUAUUUUUGUUCGGUUUAGAUAAAUCAAUUUAUCUAGUAAAUCUAAAAUACUGGUGUACAUAUUGGUAAUAAUUAUGGGAUUAUUUGUAUAGCAUAUGGAUAAUUGUGGGAAAAAAUGUUGUGUAGCUUCAUAAAAUGUGUACCUUAUAAGAAAUUGAUGCAUUUAUGCACUGCAGUACGUAUAUGUUACAUAUCUAUUUGUAGCUUAAAAAUUCCCCUACACUUAAUCUGUAUUUGUUAGUGAAUUUAAAUAUUCUAUUGGUAUUGUUUUGAAUUUUAUUGAAAUAAACAUUUGAUGAAUGGAACCAUUAACAGUUAACAUAUACUUUAUGAAAUAUUUGUCGUUCAUGUUUUUGUGUUGGUUUAAGAUGGAGAAAAUACAAUGUUGGCAUAUAAGUCAUAUAUACUCGCUUUAAAUUAUGUCCUAUUUUAAGUUUCAGAUGUUACUGUCAGUCAAUUUGUUGUAGUGAAUUAUUUAUUAUGAAAUAUUUGUUUGUCAAACUUUUAUUCAUGUAUUUUGUGGCCGAAAACUUCUUGCCUUUCAGAAUCAAUCAAUUAGCAUUAGGUAUUUUUAAAAGGUUUUGAAAAUGUAAAUAUUAACAGUUAGUAAAAUUGAAACAGUAAUAUUGAAAAUAUUGUUUAUCUUGAGGGUUAAAGCUAGUAAAGUUGCUGAAUAGCAGUUUUAGGGGGAAAAAUAAAAUAAUAAAGUGC
Long non-coding RNA from Dreissena polymorpha, 7281 nucleotides. RefSeq lists it as uncharacterized. The record is from RefSeq and is a predicted model, not a curated record. The transcript is spliced from 2 exons. Lineage: Eukaryota; Metazoa; Mollusca; Bivalvia; Myida; Dreissenidae.